AUGGGAGCAGUCUCCAAGGACAGAGUUACAAACAGCAGUCUUCUCAUGGCUAUAGGCUGGGCAGAAUUACUUCAUUGUGCCAAAGGCACUGUCAGUCAGGAACUGUAUCCAUUGUGUUCCACAUCAAGCAACUGGAUUAUAUGUAGCAGGUACCGCCAUGGGAACAACUAUAAGCUCACCUGGGGGACAUCCCAACAAUGCAGAAAGGGGAAGGCAGGUAUGUACAAUACAGAUUCGUACUAUUCAUGGUAAUUUUGUUGUCAUACUUUUGGCUAUUCUUAUUCCAAAUGAUAGGCAGUAGGCAAUAUGCCGCUUUUAAAACGUACAAAGGUAUGAGAAAUGCCACUGAGAAUCUCAUAGAUGGCUCAGGAUUUAGCAAUGGGAGUGGUAAAAGAAGAGUAAGGUAAAGGUAAAGGUUUCCCCUUACGUUAAGUCCAGUCAUGUCUGACUUUGGGGGUUGGUGCUCAUCUCCAUUUCUAAGCCGAAGAGCUGGCGUUGUCCGUAGACACCUCCAAGGUCAUGUGGCCGGCAUGACUGCAUGGAGUGCCGUUACCUUCCCGCCGGAGCGGUACCUAUUGAUCUACUCACAUUGGCAUGUUUUCGAACUGCUAGGUUGGCAGAAGCUGGAACUAACAGUGGGUGCUCAUUCCACUCCCGGGAUUUGAACCUGUGACCUUUCAGUCUGCAAGUUCAGCAGCUCAGUGCUUUAACACACUUUGCCACCGGGGCUCCUAAAAGAAGAGUAUUACAUGCUAAAUAAGUAUUCUGUCCUCCCAAACAUAAUGUUUCUCCAGUUCCUGAAUUUGUUUAUAGCAUUGCAGUAAUUUUUUUUUAAAAAAAAUCAGUUGAGUGUUUAGGCAUCCAAAGAAAGGGGGAGGAAGAGUUACCAAGGGAAUGCAAAGACAACAAACCCAAAACCUCAUAUAUAUGAACAAUUUUAAAUGACUCACUUUCUGCAAUGCUAGAAGGAAAAUUUCCAGUGAGGGGCAGAAUUCUUAUGGGGGCAGAACAAUGGUCUUCUAUAGCUACACCCAUGUUCUUGUGUUCAGUGUAUUAAGUUGGUGACUGAAGUGUGCAUAGGGACCUCAUCACACUUACUAAAAUAAGCAUCCUAGGAAACUUUGAGCUUUCUUCAGGGACGGAGCCCUACAUCAACCAUCACAUGGCAUUGUGUGGCUUCUAGAGGAGGCUCCACCCCCAACUGAGGUGGAAGCAUCCUUGGAUGCUUCUCCCCAAACAAAGAGGCCUUUCUGUGUUGUUCUGGCUCUAAUGGACCCAGCCUACUUCUACCCUCUUUGGGCAGUGCCUCCUCGGUGUGAUGGGGAAAGCGUUGCUGUGCCGGAGAGGUGUGUGGAGCAACAGAGUGCCCUUGUGCCUGCUGUUUUACAGGUGAAACGGCACCUAAUCCUCCAUGUGAUUAGGUGGCCAGAUAUCCUAUCUUGUCUUUCACUGUACAAUCAUUAUUCCUAGCUUCCCAUAUCCCAAUUAAACUUCAGGAGAGGGUACUAUAAAGAAAAGCCUCCUUUGCACCUUUUUCAGACUAGGCAGAUUUGGCAGCCACUGGAAGAAGCUGGGAGUUGAAAAGCAAUAAAGUCAUAUGUAAUAGAAAUAAAUAAAAUAGAUACUUCACUGUAAAUUUUUUUCUAUAUAAUCUAUUGCAUGCGCUUAUAUGUGUGUAUUAUAGCAGAAAUACAACCAUGUGUUAUAUUUAUAAUCAAGAAAUCUUACCAUAUAGAGGAAGUCACUGAGUUACAAACAUCCAACUUAGAAAUGACUCAUGGUUAAGAACGAGGGUGAGAGAAAUCUACACCUUGGAAGGGAAAUUCAUUCCUGGAAGAGUUAACAUAGGGAAACAGAGUCUCAAAUGAAGCUUUAUCACCAAGUCUUGUUUCCACAGCAAGUCAAAUUUUUCAAAAUCCAAUUAUUACAGGGACAGAAAAUGAGUUGAAAUCUUCCGAACAGGGGCACAGACAGCAAAACAAUCACCACAGGGGUGCUAACCCCUUCCUAUGUUAGACAAAGCUCUCUAUAUAUCUAUAUCUAUAUCUAACUGGAGUUAAGAGUUAAAGUUUAGUAUGGAGAAGUCAACCCAGUUUUUCUGGAAUGAUUUUUUGACUAAAAUUUCUAGACUUAUACAUGUGUAUAUAGGAUAAAUGUAAAAUGCAGGAUGUGCUUUAAGGUCAAAUCCUUUUUAACCUUAAUCUGACUGACAGUCUGGACUCUGCUCUCAUAGUUCAGAGGCAGAGUAUGUGAAUUGCUCCUCAGAAUUGCUCCUAUUUGAUCUGGAUUUAAUGGUAUAUCAAAUUAAUUUGGGACAAAGCAUGGUUUACCUGCUUUGUCUUGAAUUAAUCCUCUUUUACUGGAGGCGUCGUUUGGAUGCCUCCAGUAAAAGUCUGACAGGACCUGUAUUUUGGCCCUGUCUGGAAGGGCCCUGAGUGAGUACGGUACAGUACCUCACUAGGAGUAAGGAUCACUCAAAGUGAACUAUUAGCAUUUAAGAUUACAAUCCUUUACAAAUCAGAAUAUAUCCUGAUGUAUAUAUUUCUGUGGGACAUGUUUCUGUGAUGUAUAUCAAAUUUCAUUUCAUGUAUGCAUUGCAAAUAUAAAUGACAGCCAGGCAUCUGAGAGGACCUGUGGUCCCCCUCAAAUCAUAUCCAUGUUACAAAAGGUUACAUCUGCUGAAUUUCUAGCUGUCACAAUCCUAUUUACAGGCACAGAAAUAUUGGAAGGAGCAAAAAUUGUCCUCAAAAAUGUCACUUUCUUCUUGAUCUGUAAAUUCACGCACCACAUUAUGAGGUAGUUGUGCUUUAAACAAGAUACUACAGUCUAUAAGUAUUAAACACAAUUUUUUUUGAAAAAUAUUCAAAACUGGGUUUUUUUGGGUGUUGAGGAACGAUGACAAGAAGAAUCCUGGACUGAAGAGGCUCUUCAUAGUUAGGACUUAUUCAGAAUAACAUUCAUAUGGGGCUAUUUGGAGCAGAGGUGAUGAUUUUCUAUGCAGAAAACAGCUUUUUCUCUUUGAAAUAUAAUGUCCUCUUUCCUGCAUAGAAAAUCCUGUUUUCUAUGCAAAUUAAACAUAUGCAAAAUUUAUGCAGAACGAAACACCGAUUACAACAUUAUUUACACAAGAAUUAAUAUUUCUGUGUUUUAAUACUAUCUUCCACGUGAAACAGCUUGUGUCUUUCACAGAAAAUACUCAUUCCUGCUCACAACAAGCAUGUACAAUUUUUCAUGAAAUAAGUCCCAAAUUGCCAGUAGCCUUUGAAGUGUGUUUUUAGAAGAUUUUCUCACAGUGUGAACUGCUGAAAUGGCUACCUUUGAGAAGAAAUUUAGUGAAGAACUACACCUCUACAGUAAAACAUUCCUACAGAUUAACAGUAGUGGAGGUUUGUGCUAUUAAGCCCUGUUGGACAUGGAUGGAAUUUUUGGUGCACUGCUGGUAAAGUCUUUGAGUUGGCAAUUUUUCACAUAAUAAUAAUAAUAAUAAUAAUAAUAAUAAUAAUAAUAAUAAUAAUAAUAAUAAUGUUUAUUUGUAUCCCGCCUCCAUCUCCCCCGAAGGGGACUCGGGGCGGCUUACAGCAAAAUCAAAAUACAAACAAUGAUAAAAUAUAAAACAUCAGGACAAAAACAAAACCAAUAAAAAAAUUUACACAAUAAGUUAAAAAACACAACGCAGAAUUAAAACAUCAGGUUAAAAACAAUGAGGUUGCAAUAGUGGAUAAGCAAAUGUUCUUGUACACACACUUGCAGUUAUGCUGGAAGACCUAAACAUUUUUAGAGAGAUAUUUUCGCAAACCAGCAAUUUCUUUAUUGUGUUUUUCCCCUUUCACAGAGAAUGCUGACUGUGGGUUAAACCACUUUUCAUUUCCACUCUUUCAAAUCUCUUUAGAUUUACAGUGGUUCUCAACCUGUGCGUCCCAAGAUGUUUUAGCCUUCAACUCCUAGAAAUCCUAACAGCUGGUAAAUUGGCUGGGAUUUCUGGGAAUUGUAGGCCAAAACACCUGGGGACCCACAGGUUGAGAACCAUUCCUUAAGAACUCCCUCUGUUUAAAAUAAAGUGUUGCAGGACUAGCUCAAUGUUAUGCAGAUUUACUCAAAAGUAAAAUGCUACUAUACAGUCUAUAACAGUGGCUUCUCUAAUCUACCCCAAUCUUCUUCCUUACACCCUCAGGGCUCCCUGUCCUACCACACCUUUUGAUCCACACAAAAUAGAAAUGCAUAAUCUUUUAAGUAAUGCUUCUUUUGAGCUACUUCAAUGAGAAACCCAAACAAAACAAAAAGAUUAAGAACAGGCUAAUAAGUACUGUCGCCUGUUUUUUGUACCUUUAGCACAAACCACUGAGUUGCUGAACUUAUUGACCGACAGGUCGGCGGUUCGAAUCUGGCAAGCAGGGUGAGCUUCCACUGUUAGCCCCAGAUUCUGCCAACCUAACAGUUCGAAAACAUGAAAAUGUGAGUAGAUCAAUAGGUACUGCUCUGGUGAGAAGGUAACAUCACUCCAUGCAGUGAUAGUGGCCACAUGACCUUGGAAUUGUCUACAGAUAGCAUCGGCCCUUCCCCUUAGAAAUGGAGAUUAGCACAAUCCCCAGAGUCAGACACAACUAGUCUUAAUGUCAGGGGAAAACCUUUACUAGCAAAUAGCAGUCUUCUUGACAAAUUGAGUUCCAAUGCAGUAGUUCAAGACAGAAAAUGGUAAAUAAUUUCUUCCUUCUCUGAGCAUGUGCAUCUCCUUCUAACAAAGUGCACGGCUCGACUCACCAAGCUGUGCCUGUUGCAGAACAGGGCGCCCACGCCCCCAUCAUGGUGGCGAUCCAGGGGCUUCUUC
Molecule: long non-coding RNA, 4825 nt
Filed under: Anolis carolinensis (green anole)
Lineage: Eukaryota; Metazoa; Chordata; Lepidosauria; Squamata; Anolidae
Description: lncRNA (ENSACAG00000044122.1)
Source: RNAcentral